UCUCACUGCCUCCGGUGGCUGCUGGGAUACCGGAGGACUCGGGUCCCGGCUCGACUCAGUCCUCCAGCCGCCCGGGGAAUACCUCUAGUUCUUCCCGGCCGCCGCCGCCUCCGCCCCGCCGCUUCCUCCUCCGCCUGCCGGCCUCCUUCGCCCCGCCCCGUCCGCGCAGCUCGUCCGGCCCGCCCGCAGGCCAGCUUCUCUCGGGAGCCUCCACCCAGGCGCAUGGCUCCAUGAAGCAAGAGGAGGAGGCAGAGCGCGAGAGAUCCCGUCCGCCCCAGCCGCGUCUGGGCCAGGAGAAAAGCAAAACCAUAUUCCUGCUGCUGUCAGUUUUGAUGCACUGAGAAAACUUCAGAGACCUAAGCUUUUUCCAGAGAAGAGAAGCUUUACUGGUGUUCCAGCCCUAAGGCUCAUAUGACAUUAACAGACAAGACACUUUUCAGAAAGACAGGCAACGUGUUGGACCUUCCGGAGCUUCUCAGAAGACAGAGGGUUUUCUUUUGAGGCUGUUGUACAGUGGCCUGAUUAUAGCUCACUGUAGCCUCGAAAUUCUGGGCCGAAAUGAUCCGCCUGCCUCAGCCUCCAAAGUAGCUGAGACUACAGUACCGUCUGGCAAAUGAUCUGCUUGGAUCCUCCUGGCUUUUUGAGAAUCGGCUGGCAUCAGGGUGCUGACUGACAAACUUCCCG
RNAcentral lists this long non-coding RNA (684 nucleotides) under Homo sapiens (human). RNAcentral's name for it is "non-protein coding NUTM2A-AS1:10". The record is from RNAcentral. Lineage: Eukaryota; Metazoa; Chordata; Mammalia; Primates; Hominidae.